Molecule: long non-coding RNA, 8794 nt
Filed under: Citrus maxima (pomelo)
Lineage: Eukaryota; Viridiplantae; Streptophyta; Magnoliopsida; Sapindales; Rutaceae
Description: long non-coding RNA (CMAX_LNC002329)
Source: RNAcentral
UUUUUUUUUUUUUUUGUUCUAGGUAUUCUUUUGAAUACACAGGACCUUUAUAUCGUUUUGUACACAUCGUUGACAUUCUAGCAUUUUGGUUUUGUGAUGGCGUUAACGAAAGUUGUCUAAAAUUUUCAACAGUUAAUUUAUUUGUAUUCCCUUUCUCAUUUUCUUCUGGCAAAACAUCAUUAUUAAUACAAUCAAAUUCAAUGGCUAAGUUAGAAUCAUUUAAAAACAUAUCAUUUUCACUAUUGUGUUUUCUCCCCCUCAAAAUGAAAAUUGUAAUAGCAUGAUUGUCCUUCAAAGAAAGUGAUGUCCAUAGAAAUAAACAUUUUUUUUUCAAACUGGAUCAAAGCAUUUAUAACCUUUUUUAUUUGUAGGAUAGCCUACAAAAAUACUUUUAUGUGCCUUUGGAUCAAAUUUUGUUCUUCUAGAGUCAUGGUCAUUAAAAAAAGCAACACUAUCAAAAAAAUUUAAGAGAAUACUUGUUAUUAACCUUGAAAAUGGAAAACAUUCAUUGAAAAGAUUUAUUGGUGUAUUAAACCCCAAAGCUCUUGUAGGCAUUCUAUUUAUAAAAAAUGUGGCUGUCAAAACAGCUUGUCCUCAAAGAUACUUUGGAACUUUAGUUGUAAAGCUCAAGGCCCUAACAACUUCGAGGAGAUGCUUAUUCUUUCUUUCAGCCACUCCAUUUUGUUAAAGAGUAUUGCUACAAAAACUUUGAUGUAUAAUUCCUUUCUUAUAAAAAAAAAUCCCUAACACAUGAUUAAAAAACUCUUAGCCAUUAGCACUUCAAAAAAUUUUAAUAUAAGUCUGAAAUUAUGUUUGUACCAUAGUAUAAAAAUUUUUAACACACUUUCAGCAUCGAUUUAUCUUUUAGUAAAAAUACCUAAGUAACUCUAGUAUAAUCAACAAUAAAUGUAAUAAACUAGCAUUUUCCAAAAAAAGUUGUCACUCUAGAAGGAUCGCAUACAUCAUUGUGAAUCAUAGUAAAUGGUUUUGAUUUUUUGUAUGGUUGUGGUGGAAAAAUAGCAUGAUGAUAUUUAGCUAAUUCACAAAAUUCACAUCGAAAAAUAGAAGCAUUUUUAUUCAUGAAUAAUUUGGGUAAUAACUUCUUUAAAUAUUAAAAAUUUGGAUGUCCUAAUCGAAAAUGCCAUAACAUAAUCUCAAUGUCAUAACAAGUCUACCGAUCUUGCCUUCCAAAGUUUGAACCAUUAUUAAAGAAGUAGAGGCCAUUGUCUUGCCUAGCAUCCCCAAUCAUUUUCCCCGAGGUUAAAUCCUGAAAUUUACAAUGAGAAGACCAAAAUUUAAUUUGACAGUUAUGAUAACAAGUUAAUUUACUGACAGACAAAAGAUUAUAGGAUAAAUGUGGACAUGAAGAACACAUUUUUAAAGUAAAAAGAGGAGAAAUAAGAAAUUUUCAUUUCCCUGCGACAGUUGCUAAAGAACCAAUUAUUAUUUUAACCUUUUGAUUUUCUGCACAAGGUGAAUAAGAAAAAAACAACUGCAAGGACCCAGUCAUAUGAUCAGUUGCUCCAGAAUCUAAUAUCCAAGACGUGUUUAGAUUGAUACAAGUAAAAGCUAUGGUGAAAAAAUUACCUGAUUGGGCUAAAGAACAAGAUGAACUAGAAUUUCUUACGGAUUGGGAUUGAAACAUCUUGUAUAGGUGCUUCAUUUGUUCCUUAGUAAAAAGAAGAGAUUCUAAGGAUGACUACUACUCUAGAUUAGUGGUGCUAGCCUAGAAAGCACGAGUAUCUCCUGUUGGCCGAGCAUCACCACCUAAUUUCUUUUUCCAAUUUGCAGGUUUUCUAUGGAGUUUCCAACAGCUUUCUCAUGUAUGCCACGAUUUCGAACAAUGAUCACACUAUGACCUUUGUUUGCCUCCUCAUCUAUCUCCUUAUUGCUUAUUACCACAAGCUACAAAAGCUGAACCAUCAAGAUCAGUCUUUGUUCCCUCUACUCUCUUUAACGUUACAUGUCAUUAACUAUAAGAACUUGCAUCUAGGCACUAAGAAAACUUUUUGUGAAUCGUGGAAAGAUAAGAAACUUAAUCUAAGUUAUUUUCACAUCUUUGGUAGUACAUGUUAUAUCUUGAAAGAUCGUGAAUACUUGAGUAAGUUUGACUCAAAAAGAUAUGAGGGUGUUUUUCUUGGUUAUUAUACUAAUAGUAAAGCUUUUUGUGUUUAGAAUAUGAGGACUCAAAUUAUUAUGGAAUAUGUGAAUGUUGUUAUUGAUGAUUUUAAAGAUUUUUAUAGAAUUUUUCAUUGAAGAAAAAAAUAUCAAGUACAUUGAGACUAAAGAAAAGUUUAAUUUAAAUGGUAAUACAACAAAUGGCCAAACUCUUACAAAACAAGAACCCAAUCAAUCGAACUCCAAAGAUCAAAGUCAAAUGAUUGAUUUGAUAAAUGAUAAUUCUUCCCAGUUGUCUCAAGAAAAUAAUAAGGAAAAAAAUAUAAAACCUCAGAUAAAAAUUGAUGUUCAUGAUCAAGUCAAGAAAGGACCAUCUUCAAGAGUUGUAAAGAACCACCCAUCGGAUCUUAUUGUUGAUAGUCUAGAAAGUUCCAUAGUCACUAGAAAAUUGUGUACAAAUCUUGCUUGAUUUAAUUGUUUCAUCCCAUUAAUUGAAUCAAAAAAUGAUAAGGAAGCUUUAUUGGAUGAAUUUUGGCUUAAGAUAUGCAAAAAGAACUUGAACAAUUUGAGCGUAAAGAUGUUUGUACAUUAGUUCUUAGACUAAAUCACAUUAAUGUUAUUGGUACAAAAUGUAUUUUUAAGAAUAAAACAGAUGAAUUUUGUAAUGUAGUGAGAAAUAAGGCUAGGUUAAUAGCACAAGGUUAUACACAAAUUGUAAGUGUUGAUUUUGAUGAAAUCUUUAUUCUUGUGGCUAAACUAGAGUCUAUUAGGCUAUUACUUGUUGUAGUUUGUUUAAUAUGCUUUAAAUGAUUUCAAAUUGAUGUUAAAAGUGCAUUCUCGAAUGAAAUUUUGAAUGGAAAAGUUUAUGUUGAAUAACCCAAAGGCUUUGAAGAUCCGUAUCAUCUUAAUUAGUUUUCAAAUUGAAAAAGGAUUUACAAAGAUUAAAACAAGCUCCUAGGAAAAGAUUAACCAAAUCCUUGAUUUAUAAAUGCUACAAGAGAGGAGUAAACAAGACUUUAUUUAUUAAAAAUCAUCCUAGAAUUAUGAUUGCUCAAAUUUAUGUAGAUGAUAUCAUUUUUGGUUCUACAUCUUUGAUGCAUGUUCAAGAGUUUGUUGAUCAAAUGAAGAACGAAUUUGAAAUGAGCAUGAUUGGGGAGUUAACCUAUUUUUUGAGCUUACAAAUUAAACAACUUCAAAAUGGUAUCUUCAUUUUCCAAAGUAAAGAUCCUAAAAAUUUAGUGAAAAAGCAAAACUAGAUCCAGCCAAAUGCAUGAGAACACCUAUGAGCAUUAAUUUAAGAUUAACAAAAGAUGGUAGUGGUUCUAGUGUUGAUCCAACUUUGCACAAAAAUAUGAUUAGUAGCUUACGUUAUUUAACUGUAAGUAGAUCGGAUAUUUGUUCUAGUGUUAGUGUUUGUGGUAGAUACCAAGAAAAUCUAAAGGAAUCUAAUAUAUAUGCGAUUAAAUGUGUCAUUCGUUUUGUAAACGAAAUGAUUAAUGAUGGAAUUUGUAUAUUAAAGACACUAAUUCAAGUCUUGUAUGAUAUAGCGAUGUUGAUGGGUAGGUAAUUCUGAUGAUAGAAAGAGCACCAAUGGAGGUUGUUUUUACCUUGGUAACAAUCUUGUAUCUUGGCACAGUAAGGAAAAAAUAACUCAAUUUCUUUAUCUACUGCUAAGGCCGAAUAUAUUACUGCUGGUGGUUGUUGUACUCAAUUGCUUUGGUUGAAGUAGAUGCUCGAAGAUUAUAGUAUUGUUCAGGAUAUUCUUAGAGUAUCUUGUGAUAACACAAGUGCUCUUAAUAUUUCAAGGAAUCCUAUCCAGCAUUCUAGAAAUAAGUACAUUGAUAUUAGACAUCAUUUCAUUCAUGACUUAGAGACUAUAUCUUUGGAGUGCAUUGAAACAGAAAAUCAGCUUGUGGAUAAUUUUACUAAAGCUUUGGAUACAUCUAGAUUUGAUUCCUUAAGAAAAACUUUAGGUGUUGGUUCUACGUAGUUGUGUUCUACAACAUUUUGUUUACACAUUAUUCAUAUUUUUAUUGCAUGACUUUAUUUGAACCACUAUAUGCAUAAAGGUCUUGAUUUUCCAUAAAAGUUAUGUGAGAGGACGUAUCUUGGAGUUUUCCCCUUCAUUUAUCAAUCGUCAAUUCGGUGCAAGGAUUUUGAUGAUACUCAUAUAUGGGAACACAUGGAUUCCUAAGACAUGUCUACUAUUGCUACUCUACUCGUAGGCAGGUUUUCUCCUUGGCCUAAAGAUCUUUUGGUUUCAAAGCUUGCUUCUAAAUAUCAAGGUUUACAUUGGAUUGGUGCAUGCAAUUGAUAUCAUGUUGAAAAUUAUGGUACAGUAGACCCCUUAUUUUCUAAAGUUUUGUUGCUAAUUGGAGGCAGAUUUCCAUUCAACUUUGGCAACUUGGCUUUUAAUUUGAUUGUAAGGAAUGCAAAUAUCUACUGGGAGAGUCAUGUGUUACCAUUCCCUUCUUUGAUCCAUCAUUCAGGAUUAUAAUUUAGUUGAAAAUGAUGAGGUUUUUACUUGUUUUCCUUUUUAUAAUAAACCAACCUAUCUUAUGUUGAAAUCACUUGGCAUUGUUGGUGAUCAAGAUGAAGAAACCCAAACUAAGAAUGCUCUCCUAGAUUUGGUCACUAUCAUUUUUUAUCUUCAAACCAUUCGCUCCACUCUUCAGCACUUAAAUGAUCAAAGAAAGUGAGACGAUUUCAAAUUUGUUAAAUUGAGUUAAACGCAUUGAACACAUUCUUGACGACAUUAGGUCUAUUCAUUACCCUUGAUGAUUUCUUUGCUUUCUUCCCUCUUAUUUCAAUUUUUCGUUUAUAUUAUCUAUCGUGCUUUACACUUUUUUUCAAAAAAGGGGAGAGUAUGUAUUUUAUUUUUUUUUGUUUUUAUUGCAUCUAAAAGAGGAAGAGUAGUUCUUUAUUUAAACUCUAUUAGAAUUUCAUUUCAAUGAUAAAAAGGGAAUUUAUUUAUAUGUUUAUUGAGCUUAUUUAUUCUUUCUCUUAGGGAGAGCUUGUUUGAUGAGCAUAUGAUCUUUAUUAAUUAUCUUUUGUUCUUUGAUAUGCAUUAUUACUCUCUAAAUAUAUGAGAUUGUUUAUCUUAAAGGGAGAGUUAAUUUUUUGAAUCUUAGACAUGAGCAUUUAUUUGUUAGAAGAGAUUUUUAUCUUCAACUAACGAUGAUUAAUGAUUUUUGUUUAGUUAGUUUUUUGUUUCUGUGAUCUAUGUCUAGGUUAUUACUCAUGGUCUAUCUUGUUUCUAACAUACAAUUUAAAGAAUAGAAAAAUUGCUUAAUUUAUAUUUUGACUAAAGGAUGCCAAAAGAAUAAAUAGCUUAGGAAAAUUAAUUUAUCUAUUGUUUUAUUUUGCCUACACUUAUAAUAGAUCUAAAUUCUUUUUAUAACAGACUUAUUCUUAGUCAAUCACAUUAUGUGAAUAAAAUUCUUGGUAAAUUUAACAAAGAUGAUUUUAUUGUGGCUAGAAUUCAUUUAAAUGUAGAUUUACACCUAUCUAAAAUAGAGAAGAGGGUAUAUCUCAAGUAGAAUAUUAUAGAGUGAUAGGGAGUUCGAUCAAUUUGACAAGUUGUAAAACACUUGGAAAGUUUCAGAUGUUAUUUCACUGCAUGUUGGCAACUAAACCAACACCUAGAAAUUUUCAAGUGUUGUUUCAUUACUGUUUUGACUCCUAAAACAAAACAUUUUAAUUUCUAGGUGUUUUUUUUUUUUAAUUCUUUAGUUCUUUUCUUUCAUACUCAUAUUAAAUUCCCCCUUUUUGUUCCAAGUAAUAAACGGGUACAAUUUGCAAUCUACCAUGCCAGAAUUUAAAUAAUUUAUUUCCUCAUUUUAUAGUUCGCUUGAAAUGUGAUAGUUAUUUUUGUAUUUUAGAACAACAUAAUUGAUAGACUCCUCAUUUUUAGUUUUGUAGGACAAAAGGCUACAUUUCAAGGGGCGAUGAAGUCAAUUGCGAGUGGGCUACAUUUACACCAACUUACUGCUAUAUACAACGCAUGAUUAAUAUAAAUUCCAGGUUAGUCCAUAUAAUAGUGAUUUGGUACUUUAAAGUUUUGUUUUACUAUGUAUGUUACCAAAAUGAUUUAAUUAUUAUGACUACUAAUUAUGAAUUUAAUAUCUUAAUUUAUCUUUAUUCUUUGUAAUAAUGAUGCAGGUUGCUAAUGGUAUGGAAAUUCAUUUGCAAAUGAAGAAUUGGUGAGAAGUUAGAUGCAGUAGAUUACACAUCUCAAUUUUAUUAAUUGUAGCUACUAGUAUAUGAAAUAUAUUUGUAAAAUGACAAUCGUAAAAAAUUUAAUAGAAAAUUAUAAUUGAAACAUGAGGUUGAUUAUUAUUGUUAGUAAUAGUAGUAAGCAUCAAAGGUUAUUGUUAUUAUGUGAAAACUAUCAUUGAAAAUACUCAACCACAAAAACCGUUCUAUGGAAUUUUAUUAUAAUGCAAAAACCGUUAUUAAUAAGGUAUGUAUGAUGACCGUUUUCUAAAACUGACUUUAAAUUUAGUCGUAAUACUCACUAAAAUAUGAUGGUUAUAACUUUAUCUAUGAAAUUAAUGGCGAUCUUGUAAAAUAACCAUCAUUAAAAAAAAAAAACGACCAUAUAUAGUUUAUAAACCAUCAUAAAAAAUAGCCCCUCUUUAAUAAAGCUGCCUUAUUAGGUUAGAACGAUCAUUGUUUUCACUUUUGGUAGUAGUGAAUUUUAUAAUUUGGAAAAAGUCUUAAGUAUAAUAAAAUAGUUUCAUAUAUAAAUCUAUUUUUCUCUGGAAACAGAAAUAAAUUUCCAGCAUAUUAAACGUGAGUUUGAAUAUCAUAACAAAUCAAGGAUUCUCAUUCAUUUUGAUUGUAAGAAGUUUCAAAUUAAAGGUUCCUUUAUACGUCAGCAUAUAAAAAUUUCAUAAUCAAAACCAAUGCGUAUUAAUUACUAAAAACUUUGUAAUAACCCUCUGCCACGAUAAUUCUAUGUAACAUCUAAUAAAUUGGCUUAUUGCUCCUUUAAAAACUUUGUACCGUAAGUAGGCUUAUUGCUCUCAACUCUUGCACAAACAUUCAAAAAUGCAUGUUAGGAGCAUUGAUUCAAAUCGAUGACAGAUGAAAUAUUCUGGGCAUUUAUUGGAAAUCAAGUGGUUCAAAUUGUCUUCAAUCUUAAGCUCGCUCAUGCAUGUGUGCGGCAACUCUAGUUUAAUUUUUAAUAUUUUGAAAUUUUCAAGUGGGAGUAGUUUAUGCAUCCUAAAAUUUUAUCUCAAAAAUCCAUCAUAUUAAAUAAUAUGGCAUUUAUUCACUAAUUGGUAAAAUAGUGUAAUUAUUCACUUAAAAUUUAUGAAAAAUCAUCAACUACUUAAUGAAUGGUAUAUCACAUGUUACAUUAUUUGGGAUGGAAUUCGAGAUAAAAUUUUAGGAUAUCUAUCAUUAGUCUUUGAAGUGCAAGUUUUUUGAAUUUUAAAUCUCUAUCUCUUUGUUUUGAGUUAGUAAUUUCCAAACUCAACUUAGUUCGAUUUUACUAUCUUAAGAGUUUAAAGAUGAGUGUUAAAGAAAGUAAUUUGAUAAUCAAAUAAUAUAAUUUUAAAAAGUGUUUAUGAAAUAUUUUUUAGGUGCUAAAUUGCUAAAAAAUCACUUAUAUAGCAAUUUAAAGCAAUCCCAAUUACAUGCUUUAAGUUGAUAUAAAUAAAGAAUAUAAAAUAUACAUAAUAGGCUUCAAAUAUUUUAAAGUCUCUAUCCUUUGCCAAUGUACCCUUCUUUCAUAUUGGUGCAAUGUUUAGGUCACAAAAAACAAGAUCGAGGCAGUUGCUAGCAAACAGAUAAGGUCCCAAGUUGUUUGUCUUAUUGCAAAGAUUUCAUGUGAUGGAUGCAAUGGAUUCAGUUAACUAGGCUAGUGAUAUAAUUCCAGAUCAAGGUGAUAAAAAUAACAACUAUACAACAAGAUCCCAUUUUCAGAACAACGUAACCCACCACCACAAAGAAAGAAGAAAAUUAUUUUGUAAAUUGGAAUCAUGACUGGAAAGCAGCUUCAGGUUUUGUUAUGGUUUUUCUGAUCAAAGGCUUUCUUAUUGUCUGUUUAGCUUUUAGUUGUCCUUAUUGUCGGUAGAAUAAGAAACUGAACCAUGCAUAAAACCUCAAUCAAAAUUAUUCAUUGGAAUUGCAGACUUUAUAAUUAUAUUAUGCUAGGAGAUGGAUGAAUACAAAAGAUUUAAAUUAACUUCAAAUUGUGUCAAAUUACAUACCUCACUCUUCAAAGUGCCAGCUAGCGACAAAAGAAUUAAUUAAAAUUAAGAAUACAAAUAGAAGAAUGAAUUAUAAAUCAUAAUUAGAAAUAUACGAGGAACGAAGACGAGUCUUGAGAGGAUGAUGAGGAAGUCGAUGAAGACGUGAAACGAUGAUUCCGGAGAUGGUGCCUUUGCUGUAAAAGCCUUGCCAGCGCCACCGUAUAUUCUUGUAGUAGCUCCGCCAUUAUUGACACUUUAAUCAUCUUCUCAAUCUGUGAAAUGAAAUAAGCAAUAUUAAAAAUUUCCAAUAUUCGUUUUUGUUAUAAAUUUAAAAGCCUUCAAAACUGCCCUCAAAUUCAAAGUUAAGUACGUUAUAGUUUGAAAGUGGCAAAAUGAAGCCAAAUUUAUAAGCUAGUGGAUUGAGCAACUUUUUCCUGUUAAUUAAUCUCUACAAGUUAUAAUUAGUUCAUUAAUGA